This 253-nucleotide ribosomal RNA is filed under the name uncultured bacterium. RNAcentral describes it as "partial 16S ribosomal RNA". It matches the Rfam family "Bacterial small subunit ribosomal RNA", at positions 524 to 776 of the family's 1533-position model. The record is from RNAcentral.
UACGUAGGUGGCAAGCGUUGUCCGGAAUUAUUGGGCGUAAAGCGCGCGCAGGCGGUCCUUUAAGUCUGAUGUGAAAGCCCACGGCUCAACCGUGGAGGGUCAUUGGAAACUGGGGGACUUGAGUACAGAAGAGGAAAGCGGAAUUCCACGUGUAGCGGUGAAAUGCGUAGAGAUGUGGAGGAACACCAGUGGCGAAGGCGGCUUUCUGGUCUGUAACUGACGCUGAGGCGCGAAAGCGUGGGGAGUAAACAGG